UUAUAGGUCAAUGGAUUUUUCAAUUUUAUUAUGUUAAAAGCAAAUUAUGAAUAGUAUCUGUAUUUUAUUUAUUUCUGCAUUCUUCACAGUACCAAGCUCUCAGUAAAUGUUUUUUUUAAAAAUGAUAGAUUCUGGCUCAGUCCCUUAAGCGUAAGAUUCUUGAUUUGGAUUCAGGUCAUGACCUCAUGGCUUUGAGAUUGAGUCCCAUCUCAAGUUCUGCAUGGGGCUCUGAGCUGACUGUAGAGCCUGCUUAAGAUUCUCUCUCUCCACCCCUCUCUCUGCCCCUCCCCUGCUUGCACAUACACUGUGCGCAUUUUCUCUCUCUUAAAUAAAAUGAGUUUCCCAAUUAGCAUUUACUAUCAACCAGUGGCUACCAAAAUUAUAUUUCAGUAACAAUAUAUGGAUAUUGCCCAAAUUUGCAAUGAUUUGUUAUUAUAAAUAGUGAUUUAAAAGCUCAACAUUUCACACAUGCAAUGCAAGUGUUUUCUUGAUAUAUUGAAUUACUAUGAUAAAAAGUCUUAUUGCUUUAGAACAGAUGACUAAUGAUGCAAAGAUGAAUACUGAAGAUAUUCUUGUUAAAUGGAUGGAAGCACCCCAAAAGGUUUUGAGGAAAGAAUCUACUAACCACUUAUCUAUGUGCAGUCUCAAGCAAUUUAAGAGGAAACUGGUGUGGGAAGUAAAGACCAAUGGCGAAGACUUUUCUGUUAUUUUUUAAUUCGUGGCAUAAUGUUCAGUUAGCUCAUAGGUGCACAGAACUUAAUCCCUUUCCUCUCAUUCUCUCCUUUUAUAAUCUGUAUUCCAUGCAGAGGUUGGAGAAGCCUGUUAAGGGACAAUGGUGGGAGAACAGAAGACCACAGAAGAAAUCCAAUAAUGAAGCUACUGUGCCUGAUAUUUACUUAUGACAGAGAGUUCUUGGCAAGAUGGCAAGGAGAUGCAGAGGCUCUGGAACAGUGACCUACUCUUCUUCCACUGGAAACAAAUAUGUCUCCAAUUUGUGCGGCCUGCAAUGCCAGCCAAUUAACUUGAAGUUGAGUUUUGACUCAAACUCAUGACCCUUCAAGCCAUAGAUCCCUAUUAUACAUCUGGCGUCAUUGAACCAAGUUAGGGUAAAAAUAAUCUCCGCUAUUGUUUGUGUGUGUGUGUGUGUGUGUGUGUGCGCGUUGCUUCUUUUCCUUGCUUUUAAAACAAAACAAAACAAAACAAAACAAAACAAAACAAAACAAUUGAGGUUUCUAAGACUUACUGAAGUCUUUAGGAUUCCUAAAGCUUUCUACAUGAUAUUUGUAUGUUUUCUCCUCUUUAGGAGGGAAAAAGGGCUGGAGCACAAUCAUUUUUAUUGAAUAAAGUUUGCAGUUCAUGAAAGGCUUUCUUGCUC
RNAcentral lists this long non-coding RNA (1375 nucleotides) under Felis catus (domestic cat). Its description in RNAcentral is "lncRNA (ENSFCAG00000043923.2)". The record is from RNAcentral. Lineage: Eukaryota; Metazoa; Chordata; Mammalia; Carnivora; Felidae.